Molecule: transfer RNA, 60 nt
Filed under: Vipera latastei
Lineage: Eukaryota; Metazoa; Chordata; Lepidosauria; Squamata; Viperidae
Description: tRNA-His
Source: RNAcentral
UGUGUGUAAUUUAAAUAAAAUAUCAAGCUGUGACCUUGAAAAUAGACACCCUCACACACC